UUUCCGUAGGUGAACCUGCGGAAGGAUCAUUAACACUACUUUUUCAUACCCCUGGAGGAACUAGGAGGGUGAGAGAGUGGGGGUCUGGGGGAGGGGAGGGUGGGGCCACUGUGCCGCCUUCCCUUCUCCCUUCCCGCGCCCUCUCCUCUCCUUCUUUCUCCACUUUACGCCCUGCGUCCUGUGGUGCGCCUGUCGCACUGCUUCACGCAUGCGUGUGUCACCGUUGAAGUCUUCAAGCGUUCCCCUUCCGUCCUUGGACGGAGACGGGCGAACGCCGUGGACACCCUUGAAAAAUAACAGAAAAAAAAAAAAAAAAAAAAGAAUUGACCGAACCUAAGAAACAACUUUUAACAACGGAUAUCUUGGUUCUC
Molecule: unclassified non-coding RNA, 371 nt
Filed under: plant metagenome
Description: partial contains small subunit ribosomal RNA, internal transcribed spacer 1, and 5.8S ribosomal RNA
Source: RNAcentral